CUCGCCUACUCCUUGUAAAGCAACACGGAAUUGGUCUUUCCCCCUUCCUCUUCCCUCCCUCCGCCUUUCUGGUCCAACGAAAGUACAGAGAAGUCCGGCCGAAAGGAGACGGGCUGGGGAAGUCGUUGACACUGGGAUGGAAAGAGGAAGGACAUUUUCUGGGGGCUAAGAAAAUCCGUGGACUCAUUUUCCUUGAAGGAGCGGAAGGGUUGCUUGCAGACUGCACGGUGACGUCAACGUCUCCCGACCCCAUGGAGGAGGCGUGUGGUGGCCGGGGAGUGUGCUGCGCAUGCGCCUGGGGAAGAAAGAGGCUGCCGAGCGCUGCGCUUGGGGGAAGGUAGCUCACGAUCGGCUCCUCUGGUCCAGCCUUAGGGUAGCUUGGUUUUAUCUAGCGCUACUCGUCUCCAGCGUCUUAGAAUGAUUCACUGGAAAGGGGAUACUGUUCUCUUGGGUGGAGAUCUUGCAAAUUUGUUGACCUGGCAAAAUAUUAUGUGUUCUCUUACCAUUGACGUGUAAAUAGAAUUGCGGUUUUUCUCGCUGCCACAUCGUGUGGGUGGAGGGAGAUUCUAAAGGGUUUUAGAAAUCGGAAAAUGAGGGAGAAUCAAAUGAUGGGUGCUUAAGGCCUCUGUGAAAAACUAUAAACUAUGCUGCUGACGGGGAGGAACCUGUUUGGCAAUGCGCCAAUUGGAUUUUAUCCACUUAACCAACACGUCUGGGUAUUUCAGAAUAGGUUUUAUUACCAGGUACUUAACGAGUGUGUGGUGACAUAAAUGGGUUUUAUUUGGGGUUCUGUUACUACAAAGAGUAACUUUUUGCUAUUUUAAUUGAUUUAAUUAUUUAAAGCUAUGUAGUAUUACAGAAAGUAUUGAAAGAGGAAGAGCUAGAUCUCCAUUUAUAGAAGUCCCGUUUUUUUUCCAUUUCUGUCUUUCAUAUACUUGUUUUGUCAGUGAAAAAAUAUGUAUUGAGCUUAUUUAGUGGCCAGAGUCUCAGCAAACUAGAAGUAGCCCAGACAGACAUAGCUCCUGCCUUCAUGGAGUUUACAGUCCAAACAGAGGAUAACCAUUGAGCUAUCAGUAUGUAAAAUUACCAAGUGCAUUUAUUUGUUCACUGUAUCCCCUCCCUAGAAUAUAAGGUCGCAAGUGGCAGGGAUCUUGCAUGUUUUGUUUCACCUUGUAUCCCUGCAUAUAAAAGGCUCUCAAUAUUUGACCAAGUAAACAAUUCUAUAUCAAAACCAUUAAGAUGGAAAGUCUCCGGCUGCUAUGGAAACACUUGCCUUUCUCCUGGUUUGGGAUAUCAGAGGUUUUUCUGAAGAAGUGACAUUUAAGAUGAGACUUGAAACCACUGGGCAAAGAAUGAUACAAGCAGAGGAAGCUAUGUGAAAAGGCUCCGAAGCUGGGACGUUUCUAAGAAUCUCUGAAAGCUAGUGUGGUUGGCCCUCAGACAACUGAGGCAGGAUGUGGAAGCAGAGGACAGAUGCCAUAGAACAGAAGAAGGAAUGGGAAGUCCCAUGGGAAGCCCUAGGAGGAUUUCAAGGCAAGAUGGCUCAUGCCUGUAAUCCUAGCACUUUGGGAAGCCAAGGCAGGCGAAUCACCCAAGAUCAUGAGUUCAAGACCAGCCUGUCCAACAUGGUGAAACCCCAUCUCUACUAAAACGACAAAAAUUAGCCAGGUGUGGUGGUGUGUGCCUGUAGUCCC
RNAcentral lists this long non-coding RNA (1694 nucleotides) under Macaca fascicularis (crab-eating macaque). RNAcentral's name for it is "lncRNA (ENSMFAG00000060970.1)". The record is from RNAcentral. Lineage: Eukaryota; Metazoa; Chordata; Mammalia; Primates; Cercopithecidae.